UUAAACCAAAUCCACUAUCUCAUUAUUAACUAGGCUUGGGGUUUGUUUGGUUUCACGUAAAAUUGUGAAAAGUAAUUUUCGAUGGAAAAAAAAUUUUCUGAGGAAAAUAAAUUUUACACUUUUUAGCGUUUAGUUUGUAGGAAAAAAAAAAGUUUUUCAUAUGGUUAUUUAGAUGAAAGGAAAAGAAAGGAAAAAUAAAUAGAAAAUCAUUAUAUGUAUUUUAUCAUAUUAUAUAU
RNAcentral lists this long non-coding RNA (236 nucleotides) under Ananas comosus (pineapple). RNAcentral's name for it is "long non-coding RNA (ACOM_LNC033815)". Lineage: Eukaryota; Viridiplantae; Streptophyta; Magnoliopsida; Poales; Bromeliaceae. The record is from RNAcentral.